This 500-nucleotide ribosomal RNA is filed under the name uncultured bacterium. RNAcentral's name for it is "partial 16S ribosomal RNA". It matches the Rfam family "Bacterial small subunit ribosomal RNA", at positions 30 to 523 of the family's 1533-position model. The record is from RNAcentral.
AUUGAACGCUGGCGGAAUGCUUUACACAUGCAAGUCGAACGGCAGCACGGACUUCGGUCUGGUGGCGAGUGGCGAACGGGUGAGUAAUGUAUCGGAACGUGCCCAGUCGGGGGGGAUAACGUAGUGAAAAUUACGCUAAUACCGCAUACGAUCUAUGGAUGAAAGCGGGGGAUCGGAAGACCUCGCGCGAUUGGAGCGGCCGAUAUCAGAUUAGGUAGUUGGUGGGGUAAAGGCCCACCAAGCCAACGAUCUGUAGCUGGUCUGAGAGGACGACCAGCCACACUGGAACUGAGACACGGUCCAGACUCCUACGGGAGGCAGCAGUGGGGAAUUUUGGACAACGGGCGAAAGCCUGAUCCAGCCAUUCCGCGUGCAGGAUGAAGGCCCUCGGGUUGUAAACUGCUUUUGUACAGAACGAAAAGGUUUCUACUAAUACUAGGAGCUCAUGACGGUACUGUAAGAAUAAGCACCGGCUAACUACGUGCCAGCAGCCGCGGUAA